Molecule: ribosomal RNA, 253 nt
Filed under: uncultured bacterium
Lineage: Bacteria
Description: partial 16S ribosomal RNA
Rfam family: Bacterial small subunit ribosomal RNA
Source: RNAcentral
UACGAAGGGGGCUAGCGUUGCUCGGAAUCACUGGGCGUAAAGGGUGCGUAGGCGGGUCUUUUAGGCAGGGGGGAAAUCCUGGAGCUCAACUCCAGAACUGCCUUUGAUACUGAAGAUCUUGAGUUCGGGAGAGGUGAGUGGAACUGCGAGUGUAGAGGUGAAAUUCGUAGAUAUUCGCAAGAACACCAGUGGCGAAGGCGGCUCACUGGCCCGAUACUGACGCUGAGGCACGAAAGCGUGGGGAGCAAACAGG